AUCACCUACAACACAGAGUGGGAAUCCUAGUGAGGGCCCAUGCAGGUGGGGGCUGAACCUGGAGACACCUGUACGCUCAGGUGGAGUCACCCCGGCAGAGGGGUGCUUGGGAGAGAGAUGACUAACAAACCUCAAUCUCAGGGAAGAGGCAGGAGCAAAGUGGGAGCAGUUCAGGCACAUCCUAGGCAGGGACCCAUUCUUCCUGAAAGAGGAAGUGGUGGGACAGGACUGAUUGCCCGAAUUGCUUCUGCCCCAUGGUUAAGCCUGCCUUGCUGCACUUUGUCAGCCACCAUGAUGGCAGAGUGAGAACCUGAGGGGUGGUGGUGGGGUUUCCAAGGGAAGUCUCCAGAAUGGAAACAUCACUGUGGUUGCUCAGAGACCACCUCCUCUCGUAAUGGGGAAUCCUACCUUCUCAACAUGUAAGCCAGGCUAGGGAAAGUGGGAGAGGGCUGUCAAUCAUGAAAAUGUCACGUGGUGGAACUGUCUACUGGGAGUUCAUUUUUCUCUGGUGCCAGAUGCCUGGGCCAGUUUGUUGGUAGUCUCUGUCGGAUGCUGGUCACAGACAUUCUCUGAGGUGCGACUCCAGGAUUGAUGAGAGAAAGCAGACAUCCUACGGGAUGCCACUCUGACAUGCUGGGCUGUUUAGAUGUCUUGCAAUUAGAAUGCUGGGAAGAGGUCCUGGUCUCACACAGGAGACUUGCUGUAGAAAGUCAACAAUUAGGCCCUGUGCCUUGUACAAAUUGGUAGUGACAGAGCACGGCUGCCUCUGUUUCCCUGGAGGUAACGCUUUCUCCCCUGUGGACCUGGCAGGAGACAAGAGCCUUUCCCUGGUGUGUGUCCCAGCUGCACUCAUGUCAGGGAAGGCACAAUGGCAGCUCUGAGCAGAAGCCAGGUGGUGUGUGAAGUCAGAUAGGAUGAGUGAGUGGUCCGGAGUCCCUGCCAUGAAACCCCUGUGGUCAGGCUGGGCAGCCCCUCUGUCAGCUAGUGAGGCCCAAGCCAGCCAGACUGUGUCCUCCUGCCUUCUGCAUAUGCUCAUCAGCCUUCAAGUUCUAGGCCACUGCCCAGAAAGCAGCAGACCAGUGGCCCGAUGAGGGGCUUGGCCAACUUACAGGCCCCGAGAAGCCCAGACCCUCUGUGCAGGAGAGGAGGCAGAUGCUGGGCCCCUGAACGGGAAGGUGAGACACUUUUUCUAAUCAUGAUAUUGUGGCCACAUGUGUAGAAAGGAGGGUCUAGAUUUCUGCAGCCUGAGGCUUGGCCUGCAGGGUGAGAGCUGACUCUGGUGGGGGCUUGUGACUCCCAUGGCUGAGAGCUCUGGAUGCUUCUACUUUUUAGGAAUGGAGCUGCCUUCUGGCUUUUACUUUUAUGACAAAACAAACAGCACCUGGCCUGCCUCCUCAGGCAGGCUGGAGGCUUGUGUCUUUUUUCGUCUUGCUUUCCUCUGCAGUCAGCAGGCAGAGUGCUGGGCUGGAGUGAUGCAAGCCAUGAUUUUCAGGUUUGAGGCAGUCCUCAUGUUGCAUUAGGUUAUUUCUCUGUGAUUUUUUUUUAAGAGGCCAAAUGAUUACUUCUAUGGUAAGCUCAUAGGAAAAAACUCAUAGAAGUGGGUGUUAAGAAAAUAUCAGCAUUAGGAAACUGGAUCUUAGAGAGUCUGAAAAGAAAAUGCCAGGGAAUUCCAAGAAGCCAUGCAAUCAUUGCUUGGUAUCAGGCCUGUCAUUUUAGCUCAUAGUAGAGAUGAAAAAUUACAGGCUGUCAUUGGUCAAUGUCAUUCACGCUUCACUGCUCUGACACCCUAUAUUCAGAGGUUACUUCAUCAAAACGCAGUGCCACGGGCCAUUGAAUUGGUGUGGGCAUGUCAGCCUCGUUUCUCUGAGUCACGAGUUCCUCCUCGGCUUUUUCUUGUGUCCUAUCACACAGCUGGGCCCACAGUGCCCUAAAGAUAACUGUCAAGCCCCUCACAUUUGCUGCCGUAUGGGCUUGGUACAGGAGAUGCAUGCAUGUGUCUGAAUCUCAGGAUAUGCCCAUCAGUUGGCAGGGUGGGGACAGCAAGGCUGGGCAUCUCCCUCAGAGGGGUGUAUGAAGCCAGCUGGGAAGUGGCAUGUGGAGGGGUGGGAGAACAUGGUAUCCAGAGGACAGGCUGGGAGGCAGCUAACAGCUGGCCUGAGAAAGGGGGUGGGCCAGAGAGUGCUGGGCAGCAUUGGAAAAGAUGCCAAACCUUCCAAACCUGGGUGCUGAGGAGGGCUUUGGUGGAGAGAGCCUCAUUUGUACAAACACGUUCAUAUAGUCUUCCCAAAGUGUGUUCAACAAAUCCUUCAGUGUUGGAUAUUUAGAAACAAUAUUAGGAUAUUAUUUUUAAUCUCUUGCAAAUACAAACAAUGCAGUAACAAACAUUGUAUUUGUGAGAGAUUAAAAAUAAUGUCAUAGCUCAAUUUUUGUCCACAUCCAUGAUUAUGGCCUUUGGAAAAAUUCUGAGAAGUCAAGUUGCUGGAUCAAAAAUUACUCUUUCACUGGCCAGGCAUGGUGGCUCACACCUGUAAUCCCAGUACUUUGGGAAGCUGAGGCGGGCAGAUCACUUGAGGUCAGGAGUUUGAGACCAGCCUGGCCAACAUGGUGAAACCCCAUCUCUACAAAAAAUACAAAUAUUAGCUGGGUGUAAUGGCAUGUACCUGUAAUCCCAGCUACUCAGGAGGCUGAGGCACGAGAAUUGUUUGAACCUGGGAAGAGGAGGUUGCAGUGAGCCAAGAUUGUGCCACUGCACUCCAGCCUGGGUGCAGAGUGAGAUUCUGUCUCAAAAAAAAAAAAAAAAACUUUCAGGCUAUUGGUUCACACUUCCCAAUGGCUCACCACAAAGACUAUGCCAGUUGAAUUUCCAGGAGCAGUUUUUGUGAGCAAUGGUUUCUUUAACCCUAGCCCACAGUGAUGAAGGUAGGUUUAUUCAAAUGAUUUCAUACUUUUUUUGUGUGAUAAUGCAUAUCCUAGACUUUCCAGUUAUGAGAAGGGAAGCAUCAUGCUGUAAUUCCUGGUAUUAUGCUUUCAGUGUUUUGUCAUUUAGGCAAAGGUAAACUAUUGGUUAUUGGUUUUGGAGAAGUAGUCUUUAUUAUAUUUAAAGAAUUUCCUUCUAUUCCUAUUUUUAGGCUUUUUAUUAAGAAUGCCUGCUGUAUUUAAUUAAAUGUCUUUUCAGUAUUUAUUGAAAACGUCCUACAUGUUUUCUCUUUCAAUUUGUUGGUGUUAUGAAUAAUAUUGACUGAUUUCCUGACAGUGAACCAUCAUUGCAUCCUGGGAAUGUGUUCCCUGCUUGAGCAUUCAGACACAUUCCUGGAUUCUAUGUCUUUUUCUUUGCGUGUGUGUGUGUGUGUGUGUAGUGUUUGUUUAUACACAUGCGUCUCUCCUGUGAAACUCCCUUUUUAAAAUAAAUUAUCCUUGCAUAAUAUUCCUGGAUUUGUAUGUUAGACAAGGACAUGGGUCCAAGUCAUCUCUUGGAUUCCAGUCAUUCCUGUAACCAAAACCAAUUCUUCACAAUUUAUUCAUUUAAAAAAAUCAUAAGCCAUGUGGUUUCAAUGCGCUUUAAUUUGAAUUCAAUUAAAAAGAAUUUAACAAGUCAACUUUUCCCAAACAAAACUUUAUAUUCUAUUUUCUUUAGGAGCUCAGUGAAUCUAAACAUUAAGUUUCAAUAUAAAAUCUUUAGAAACACCGUAAAACUAUGUAAACAGUGGUAGUUUGCAUCUCUUUGUUUGUAAUCAAUCACUGAGCCCAUGAAAUUCAAAGCCAGACAAAUCCUUGUACUACUAAGGGUCAUAAGCCAGAAUGUCUUAAAAAAUAUCCUCAAAGCUUUGGAAUCCAGUACGAAUUAGGAAAUGAGUCGGAGUCAGACACCCCGAGCACAAACUAGCGCAACCCCACAAAACAUGUUUAAUUUGAGUUUUCAUCCUGGACUCUAUUUCUAAUAGUAUGUUAGAAUUAAAAACAGAAUUCUGCCUCUGUAUUUAUAAGUGAGAUUAGUCUACAGUUUUAUUUUUUAUACUAUUUUAAAUCAGGUUUUAUAAUCACAAUAACACUGGCUAUUUAAAACAAACUGUACAUUUUCACCCUAUGGUCUUGGGAUAGUUCAAGUAAAAUUAUCUAUAUUUUGAGGACUUGACAAAACUCAGCUGUACAUUUUUCUAUGGUAGAUUUUUCUUUAAAAAAUCCAUGGUAAUUGCUCUAGCUCAGGUUUCUCUUUUCAUAAGUCAGUUAAUUUUUUAAAAACAUUUUGCAAGCAUUCACUGAUUUCCUCUAGGUUUUAAAAUUUGUUGCCUCAGAGUUGCAAUGUAGUGUUUUUUUUUAGAUAAAAUCUCAUUCUGUCACCCAGGCUGGAAUGCAGUGACACGAUCUCAGCUCACUGCAACCUCCACCUCCUGGGUUCAAGCGAUUCUCCUGCCUCAGCCUCCUGAGUCGCUGGGAUUACAGAUGUGCACCACCACACCCAGCUAAUUUUUGUAUUUUUAGUAGAGACAGGGUUUCACCAUGUUGGCCAGGGUGGUCUUGAACUCCUGACCUCAGGUGAUUCAGCCACCUCAGCCUCUCAAAGUGCUGGGAUUAUAGGCGUGAACCACUGCGCCUGGCCUAUUUUUCAAGUCUUUUGAUCCUCCUGUAUCUGCAAUAAAAUUCCCUUUCUCAUUCCUCAUUUUGUCUAUUUUUGUUUGCUUUUUUCUUUAUUGGGGUUGUAAAGGAUUCAUCUUUUUUGUUUUGCUUUCUAUUAAUUUUAGCCUCUAUUCUUUCUUGCAAGUUUUGUUCUCUUUCAAUUUCUUAAAUACUUCCUUUUCAGGCUUUUAAGCCCCAAGAAUUCCUUGGUACAGCUUUCUCUGUAUCCUGUAAAUUUUGAUAUGAAAUAAUAGUCUCUUUUUCUUUGCUUUUGAGACCAUUGGUAGUUUUCCUUUUAAUUUCCUCUUUGAUCCAAUAGAUAUAUCCAGGAAUGUUUUCUUAAUUAUCAGAAAAUAUAGCCUACAACAUCUACUUUUACAAAAAUUUAAAGUUUCUUUAGUGAUAUACUUUUUUAUAUGGAGACAUACUGAAAAAUUCUAUUUGACUGAUGAAAGUCUUUCUAUGUUUUUAUUAAACCAAACUUCUUGUUUAUAUUCAAUUUUCCUGUCAUCUUGUCUCUUCGUAUAUUUUAAAUCAAGCUCUUCUAUGUUAAUCACUCUUGUUUUACGUAUUCGUUAUGUUGUUUGAUAUAGAUCAGCUGUUCAGCACCUACUGUCUCUCAACAUGCUUAGUGCUCUUAACCCUAAAUUCCACAUUGCCUGACGCUACCAUGCAUGCAUGCUUUUUUGUUCACCUGUCAUCACUAUUCUCACCCCUUUAAGGGCAACCUUUUAUUAUCACUUUAUGUGUGUUUCUUGGAAAAAAGUUAUUGCUAGUUUUUAAACCCAGUCUGCUCAUCUCUGCUUUUAAUUGGGGAAUUCAGUCAUAUUUGAUAUAAUGAGAUAUUCACUUCUCAACUACCAAUUUCAAACAACAUUCUCUGUAUCCUCUCUUAUCCCAAUAAAAUGAGGUUUAAAGUGAAGUUUUGAGUAUUUUUACUCCCCCUUUCUGCAUACUCCCUACUUUUAUUUUUUGAAACAGGGUCUCACUCUGUCACCCAGGCUGGAGUGCAGUGGCAUGAUCUCGGCUCACUGCAGCCUCCAUCUUCUAGGCUCAAGUGAUUCUUCUGUCUCAGCCUAUCAAGUAGCUAGGACUACAGGUGCGUCAGCACACCUGGCUAAUUUUUGUAUUUUUUUUUUUUGUAGAGAUGCGGUUUUCCUAGGUUGCUCCUGCUGGUCUCCAACUCCUGAGCUCAAGUAAUCCUCCUGCCUCAGCCUCCCAAAGUGCUAGGAUUACAGGUAAGAGCCACUGCACCUGGCUCCUACUCUUUUUACUGAAACAAUUUAUCUUUAGUUACAACUUGGUAUCAGAAUUUCUUUCAUUGUCUCUCUCCUCAUUCAAAUGUCCUCACCUGGCACUUAUUGUACAUUUCUAGAUAGCCUCUCCUCAUCCAUUUUACUUUUAAUUUUAGAUCUUCCUCUCCUGGUUCAUUACUUGCCACUAUCUUUGUCCACCUUGAUGUCUCUAAUCUGGCUCAUCUGAUGUUUGUCUAGUAUCUUUCCUUAGGUGUGGCCCAUGAGUGAUGGGCUCCCUGAGUUCCUGCGUACUCGUAUAUCUUUCUUUUGUCCUGACAGGUAAAUGAUGUCUUGCUUGGGAAUAGAACCCUUGGAGUGUGUAGAUGGGAUACCACGGUCUUCCAGCUCCUAUUGCAGGGCUGCUUUGUGUGGGAAAGCUGAUGGCAGAUCAUGGAAAGACGGCCCAUCAUAGAACCACACACACGUGAUCACAGGCAUGACACAGAACAAUGAAGCUUGGUACCUUCCUCUCGCCACAGGAUGUUUGCAACUGCAGCAGCAGAGAAUGAGGAAAGCAGGAGUGUGAUGGAGGAAAGGAAAAAGAAGAAAGCAGUGUUAAACCGUCACUGCAGUGAUUCCAUUUAUGAAGAUCCUGGUACCUAGUCCAUCACUUACAGAAUCUAUACCACUCAUUGCCCUAGGAACAGUAUCUUGGGGGAAGCUCUGGACAUGAACAAAUGCUUUCAGGUCUCCAGACCCUUUUGAUUAAGUGAAUCUUUGAAAUCAUGCCCUAGGACCACAGAAGCUAAUGGAAUUUCUCACAUUUCAUGGAUGAUCAAGAGUAAGCAACAUCUCUCCCAGAUUUCCUGGACAACCAGCAGGAGAAGUGACUUUCAACUAGGAUUCUCCUAAGAUGACCACGUGAAAUACUUCUGAUUAUCUACUUUGAUGAAAAUGGCUUAGCCUGGAGUCUUUGACCAUGAGUAACACCCAUGUCUAUGAAAUCACACCUGCAGGCCUACCUGGGGAGCAGUGGUUAUGAGGAGAGCACACUUAGCACACCGAUGGGCUGGACCCCUAGCGUAAAGGCUACCACACUCCCAAUGGUGUGCAUGUGUGCACAGGUCAGGUUCUGGGCCACUGUGGGACAUCACGUGGAUGAAGGGCAGAGGUUCAGGGCAUACAGCAAGUAAAAAGCAGAGCUGGGACUCGACUAUUUGGGUUUCCUUGUGUUCCUGGGCUCUGUCUGCUGUCCAGGGAAUCUCCCUGUCUGUUUCCAGAGUUGUCUAGGUUGCCAGGGAAGGCCUGCUCACCUCUGGGUGCCCUCCAAUUCCAGCUUUAUGCAAAGAGGGAUAUGAGGCUUACCCCUGUCUUCACGGGCUCAUGGUUGGCAGCUGUGGCCCUGGUCAAUUGGUGCCCUCCCUUGCCACCCAACACCUCCCAGCCAGCUCAGUGAGAAGCAUAAACGCGUGUCGACUUACGGGUCUUUCUAGCUGAGUCUUCAAUGAAGAGCGAGGAGAUAUCUUCAUCCACACCCACUUCAUUUUUGGCAAUGCAGGUGUAUGCCCCUGUGUCUUCAUACCGAACACUGCUGAUGUGGAGUUCGCUCCCAUUGGCUGCAGACAGGACAGUGCUCAGGGUGGACUGCUCAGCUGGAGACCCACUCACUUUCCUUUAUGGGGCCAUUGAGAGUGUUAGGGCUGCCCAGCCCCCGGGCAGCCAGCAGCCCUGAUUAUACGCCCAGGAAGGGCUGGCACAUCUGAAAUGCACUGAGGGUGAGCUGGACCUGAGUGACAGCUUCUCAUCAUUGCUCUCAGAAAGCCCCAAAAGAUCUGUGUGAGCCCAGAUAACAGGGAAAUUUGGGAGCCAUCUGUUCACUCCUAACCUGUCUGACUUAUAAACAAAUUAUACCUCUCAUUUCCAUUCCUGGAGUCUCAGCUUGAUUUGAAUGGGAAUAUUGCAUAGACGUCUACCAAGGGCAGUUCUUACCUAAAAGGGAGAGCUGUUUAGACAUCUGAGUUGAGACAUCCACGCCGUUUUUCAGCCAAGUGAUUCUGGGCAUGGGAAUGCCCUCAGCAUGGCAUCUCAGGCUGGCUGCCACUCCGGGCUCCUGUGCCUGGCUCUCUGGAUAGACACGGAUGACUGGCGGCACUGUGGGUGAGAGUCAGUGCUGGUGAGAAAGAGACGGCCCUGACCUGGACUUGGGCCUGUGGCCCAACCUGAGACCCUGCUCCAGAGGGGGUGAACCCAAGAGGUGACUGGAGUUCUGUGUUUAACCAAAUUAUAAUAAUCCUGUCCAGCAACUCAAGCUCUAAAAGGGCUAUAAAAUGGAUUGCAGAUAAUAAACAUGUCAGACUUUGUACCCUAUGACUCAUGGCUUUCAUCAUUAUUCUAAAUACGAUCAGAAGGCCAUCCAAAUAUUUAAUGCUGUUCAGCUGCUACAUGUAAAGAGCAGCAGCCACUGAAAUUUAUUUCUGAAUAAAAUUUAGAUACAUUCCCUUUCUGUUAU
Pan troglodytes (chimpanzee) is the source of this 8358-nucleotide long non-coding RNA. RefSeq lists it as uncharacterized. The transcript is spliced from 2 exons. NCBI's taxonomy places the organism in Eukaryota, Metazoa, Chordata, Mammalia, Primates, Hominidae. The record is from RefSeq and is a predicted model, not a curated record.